UGAGAUAACCCUGUUCAUGGUGGCUCUUUGGAUGGCUCUCUUUUCGAAGGAAUUACAAGACUGAAGGUUGUGCGGAAGUUGAUCAAACCGUGUUUCAUGCUGCCCGUAGUUCUCCAUGUUCCAAUGAUGUUAUGAUGUGCUUGUUUACUCUUCCUGCAGCCGGUGCCUCUAAAAUCUAGUUAGAGGCCUGACAUUUGUUGCAGCUGUUGUUAUUUUUUACUUUUGGUCUGGUUAUUGAACUGACACUCUUCCUUCGCUCGUAGUUUAUAACCUGUAGUAGUAUGAUUUAACUGUGAUGGAUUCUGGAUGGGAUCUGCCUACCUCAACUUGUUUGAGACUAAAGGCUUUGUUGUUGUUGUUGUUGUUGUGCACAUCAUCAUUUUUGUGUGGCUCAUUGUGCAUGUCAUUGAUGGUACAAACAAUUCAUGUGUGAGAUCACUAUUGAUGGAGUAGCACCCUGCACAACCAAACCAUGUGGGUUUUUCAUUUUACUGUAAUCACAUUUUCUCCAAGUUCUUCAAAAAAGUUUGGGGGACAGCGUUCAUGAAAUUUAGUAACUCGGUAGAAUCUGGGAAACACUGGUACCUCAUGAGUACGAUAAACCUGGUGAGGAAAAAUAUUAUGUGUCGAUUCAUGACAUUUUUUUUCACUCUUUUGUUUUGCCUAGCAGAGAAUCUGUAUGCUGUUGUGAGCCUGCAAAUGUUGAAUUCUGAGGACUGUGAAUCUGUGAUGUCUUCGCACUUAAAAAAAAAACCUUUUUCUAAUUCUCUAGGUUCUGUUUCUCCUUCGCCAGGACAUUCCUGAAAGAAAUGCCUGUGUUACAAUGCUGUCAUG
Molecule: long non-coding RNA, 834 nt
Filed under: Triticum aestivum (bread wheat)
Lineage: Eukaryota; Viridiplantae; Streptophyta; Magnoliopsida; Poales; Poaceae
Description: long non-coding RNA (TAES_LNC023576)
Source: RNAcentral